AAAAAAAACACCUGUCUGUAGCCACCAUACAAAUGGGAUGAUGUUGUAAAAGCAGUAAGAUCACAGGAACAACCUGGAACACGUUGGAUUCCGUACAAAGUACGCGUUUUAUUAGGCAAAGGAAGAGGUGUCACAUUCAAGAUGAUGCGGAUAGUGAAGAUGAGACGUCGGGAGCAUCUACUUUACCUAGACCUCCAGAAAUGGCCACUGCAAAGAAGCUGUCACCCUCAAUCCUACAAUGGCGGGCGGAUGGACAGACAAACGGACAAAGAAACCCCAACGAUUACUUUACCUCUGCUGGCGGAG
Molecule: long non-coding RNA, 306 nt
Organism: Salarias fasciatus (jewelled blenny)
Lineage: Eukaryota; Metazoa; Chordata; Actinopteri; Blenniiformes; Blenniidae
Exons: 3
Source: RefSeq, a predicted model, not a curated record